GUGGCUAACAACUUUGAUGGCUUUUUGAAAAGAUGAAACAAAUCUGGCGGUCGUGGAUCCUGUCCGAUGCCCUGCUGGUGGCUAGGGCCAUGGCACGACCCCUGGUGACGUCAUGGGGGAGCUUCCAGUUGUAUUUGCAUCAACAAGCUCCUCCCAUUGGCUGUUAACCCUGAUAUGACUCCUGGCUGUGUGGGGUGGAGUCUUGUGUUGCUGUUUCAUCCAAUGCCUAAGCCAAUACUACUCACAUGCUGUAACCAAUAAAACUUGUGGCCUAAUUUUGCCCAUUAACCUAAAAUAAUGUGUCUGUGUGUCUUAUUAUAAUCUUAUGCAGGUGGAGGGUCCUCAACUCACAAAAGGUCCAGCAAACCCAGAGGUAGAAAGCACAGAGGAUGCCUGCGUAGGAACAAAGAGAGUUUAAGAACUGAAAACUAUUGACAUUGCAACACCAUUAUACAAAUCUAUGGUGUGACAGUUCUGGUCACUUUCCCUUUGAAAGGAUAUUGUAGAGUUGGAAACGGUUCAGGAAAGGGGAUGGAGAGACUCCCCCUAAGAGGAAAGGUUGAGGUGUUUGGGACGUUUUCCUUUAGAGGAAAAGGUGAGUAAGAAACAACAUGAUAAAAGUUCAUAAUUCUAUGUAUGGCCUGCAGAAAGCAGGCAGAGAAAGGUUCUUGUCCUUCUCUCAUAAUGCUGGUGAUCGUGAACAUACAAUAAAAUUCAUGGAGGCUGUCAAUGGCUCCUAGCCAUGAUGGCUGUUCUCUGCCUCUAUGGUCAGAGACUGCAAUGCUUCUGAAUAACACUUGCUGGAAAUUGCAGGAGGGCAGAGUGCUCUUUUGUUUAGGUCCUGCUUUCCCACUAGUAUCUGGGUGGCCACUGAGAGAACAGGAUGUUCUUCUUAUGUUCUAAGGACCUCAGAGGUGCACUGGAAAUGUUCUGUUUAGCCCAAUGCAUUUUGAGGCUCAUGACUCUGAAAGGAAAUUAAAUGCAACCCGCUUAACAACUCCAAAACUCCUAACUUUAAAAAGCCACAUGCACCAUGAGAAAUGAACAUCAAAAACUAAAGUGCAACAUACAGUGGUACCUCGGGUUAAGUACUUAAUUCAUUCCGGAGGUCCGUACUUAACCUGAAACUGUUCUUAACCUGAAGCACCACUUUAGCUAAUGGGGCCUCCUGCUGCCACCGCACGCCGGAGCACGAUUUCUGUUCUCAUCCUGAAGCAAAGUUCUUAACCUGAAGCACUAUUUCUGGCUUAGCGGAGUCUGUAACCUGAAGCGUAUGUAACCUGAAGCGUAUGUAACCUGAGGUACCACUGUAAAAAUUUUAUAUAUACAGUGGUACCUCGGGUUAAGAACUUAAUUUGUUCUGGAGGUCUGUUCUUAACCUGAAAUUGCUGUUAACCUGAGGUACCACUUUAGCUAAUGGGGCCUCCCGCCGCCGCCAUGCGAUUUCUGUUCUCAUCCUGAAGCAAAGUUCUUAACCUGAGGUACUAUUUCUGGGUUAGCGGAGUCUGUAGCCUGAAGCGUCUGUAACCUGAGAUACCACUGUAUAUAAAAAAGGAAUGGCUGUGUUAUGUAUGGCUGUCAGGAAAGUUUCUGAAAGGCAAGGUCAAACCCGGCUGUCUUCAAACGGGGACUUCCCCGAAAUGAGAUCAAGCCCAUUUUCAGCCUGGAGGGCUUUGUGAUGCACAUAAAGGGAACUUGAAGCAGCCAAGUCCUCAUUUACAUUGUGCUGACAUCAGCAGCAGGUUACCCUGAACACACCUAGGCAACCACCCAUUGUUGAGUAAGAAAGGAAAGGUGCCAUGGUCCCAAUUCUGCACUGCCUGAUAAGAGGCACAGCAUCAAAGGAAGGGGGUGGGAACAUCACCCACUCCUUCUCCUUAGUAGCAUUCGUUGCUGAAAGAAUCAAAGAAGGGCUAUCCCUCUUCUGACCUCUUAGCCGAGCCAACCUCUUCCAGGGUGAGUUCAGGAGUCUCCUUCACUGGCACAGUUAAUCAUAUUUGACAUUUUGAUUUCCAGGUGAUGACAGAACCGCAACACAAGCUCAGCUGCUUCAGAGGAUGAGCUGGCUUCCAGAUCAGGUAUUAAUUAGGUUCCCCCUGUGCACACACAUCAUUUUUAAAUUAAUGCUGCCGGGAUCUAGUCCCAUUCCAUGCCUAGCCCCAGUUGAGAAACAUGAUGUUCAGUGGGGCACUGUGUGCCAGGCGUUGUGGGUCAAAAUCAGUAGUGGAGGAAGUAAUAAUAAUAAUAAUAAUAAUAAU
Non-coding RNA from Podarcis lilfordi (Lilford's wall lizard), 2258 nucleotides. Lineage: Eukaryota; Metazoa; Chordata; Lepidosauria; Squamata; Lacertidae. The record is from the annotation of a GenBank genome assembly.